Long non-coding RNA from Oncorhynchus tshawytscha (Chinook salmon), 1076 nucleotides. The record is from Ensembl. NCBI's taxonomy places the organism in Eukaryota, Metazoa, Chordata, Actinopteri, Salmoniformes, Salmonidae.
GUUGUUUCUGCGUAGUUAGUACAGAUAGAAACAGAGGAGGUGUUGUUUCUGCGUAGUUAGUACAGAUAGAAACAGAGGGGGUGUUGUUUCUGCGUAGUUAGAACAGACUGAAACAGAGGGUGUGUUGUUUCUGCGUAGUUGGUACAGACAGAAACAGAGAUUGUGACGCAGUCAUCUACUGAGCUGUACUUCUAUGACAGAAUGGCUCAUGACUGUCCCUGUGUUAUUCUCUCCCUUUCUCACUGGCUCUCAGAGAACAGAGAAGGAGAGAGGGAGAAGUUGUUUACCUUGCUUUCUUGGGGACUGCACUGGCAGCUCUCCAGUUCAUAUGCACUAGACUUCCUAAAGCUGCUGCAUCACAGGCCUGAGUGCCAGAGCUGGCCUCCCGUUGGGUGGGAGGACCUCCCCAGACUCUGCUGGCAGCACAAUGCUAUUGGACGAGCAGAAGGGAGCAGGUGGUGGACAGCUUCUGACUGGUGGAUAAGUAGCGUUAUCGUGCAGUACGUUUAAGUGUGUAUGUGUUCUAUAGGGGUACUAAUAAAAUGUGUACAGUAACAGCACAUGGUUUUGUUUUACAUUGUUCCUUAUCUACAGUAAUGUAAGCUGUAUAUGCUGUAUAGUACAAUGGAUUAUAUUGUUGUUAGUCCUUGGCUGAAAGGAGCAGAAACAUGAGCACUGUAGGUAAACACGAGUGUGUAUCUGUUUACUAAGCUCCAGUAAUGUCUUGUGUAAUGUGUUCUCAUAGUCUGAUUGGUUUGCGUGUACUACGUCAUGUUGACAGUGAUCAGCCCCUGUCUUUUUCCUGGUAUGCUGGAGGCCAAACACAGUCCACUUCCUGUUCUGUCUGGACGCUGUACCAAUCGCUUCUCCUUCCAUUCCCAGAGGGAAGUCUAUACUUACUUAGUGUUUGAUUUGGUUGCUCUACUACGGUUGUGGGCCGUGAGAUGGGGAACAACCGAGGGUUCUCUGAACUGGCAUUCUGUGAUGUCACAAACCUGCCACAUUGCCACUUUCUAAAGUGACGCAAGAACGACUGUGUUUGUCAAGGGUCUGCAUUGCAUCCACGACUGCUGCAG